GAUCAUGGCUCAGGAUGAACGCUGGCGGCGUGCCUAACACAUGCAAGUCGAACGGAGUCGUUUUGGAAAUCUCUUCGGAGAUGGAAUUCUCGACUUAGUGGCGGACGGGUGAGUAACGCGUGAGCAAUCUGCCUUUAAGAGGGGGAUAACAGUCGGAAACGGCUGCUAAUACCGCAUAAAGCAUCAAAUUCGCAUGUUUUUGAUGCCAAAGGAGCAAUCCGCUUUUAGGUGAGCUCGCG
This 239-nucleotide ribosomal RNA is filed under the name uncultured bacterium. Its description in RNAcentral is "partial 16S ribosomal RNA". It matches the Rfam family "Bacterial small subunit ribosomal RNA", at positions 15 to 235 of the family's 1533-position model. The record is from RNAcentral.